RNAcentral lists this ribosomal RNA (526 nucleotides) under uncultured bacterium. Its description in RNAcentral is "bacterial SSU rRNA". It matches the Rfam family "Bacterial small subunit ribosomal RNA", at positions 8 to 521 of the family's 1533-position model. The record is from RNAcentral.
AGAGUUUGAUCCUGGCUCAGGAUGAACGCUAGCGGCAGGCUUAACACAUGCAAGUCGAGGGGCAGCAUGACACGGAGAUUCGUCGAAGUGUUGAUGGCGACCGGCGCAAGGGUGCGUAACGCGUGAGCAACUUGCCCGCUUCAGGGGGAUAACCGGUGGAAACGCCGACUAAUACCCCAUGGCAUUGGCUGGAGGCAUCUCCGGCCAAUUAAAGAAAUUCGGAAGCAGAUAGGCUCGCGUGACAUUAGCUAGAUGGCGGGGUAACGGCCCACCAUGGCGACGAUGUCUAGGGGUUCUGAGAGGAAGGUCCCCCACACUGGAACUGAGACACGGUCCAGACUCCUACGGGAGGCAGCAGUGAGGAAUAUUGGUCAAUGGUCUGACGACUGAACCAGCCAUGCCGCGUGAAGGAAACGGCCCUAUGGGUCUUAAACUUCUUUUGCGAGGGAGCAAUAAGGUCUACGCGUAGGCCGAUGAGAGUACCUCGCGAAUAAGCAUCGGCUAACUCCGUGCCAGCAGCCGCGGU